GAUCCUGGCUCAGGAUGAACGCUAGCGACAGGCUUAACACAUGCAAGUCGAGGGGCAGCACGGUGUAGCAAUACACUGGUGGCGACCGGCGCACGGGUGAGUAACACGUGUGCAACCAACCCCGUACCGGGAGAUAACCCGCGGAAACGUGGACUAACAUCCCAUAAUACUGGAGGAUCGCAUGAUCUUUCAUUUAAAAUUCCGGUGGUACGGGACGGGCACGCGCGACAUUAGGUAGUUGGCGGGGUAACGGCCC
This 256-nucleotide ribosomal RNA is filed under the name uncultured bacterium. Its description in RNAcentral is "partial 16S ribosomal RNA". It matches the Rfam family "Bacterial small subunit ribosomal RNA", at positions 15 to 266 of the family's 1533-position model. The record is from RNAcentral.